Molecule: transfer RNA, 51 nt
Filed under: Eutreptiella gymnastica
Lineage: Eukaryota; Euglenozoa; Euglenophyceae; Eutreptiales; Eutreptiaceae
Description: partial Selenocysteine transfer RNA
Source: RNAcentral
AACCCCAUGUAUUGCUGUGUGGCCAGUCAGGGGUUCGAUUCCCACCCUCUC